Molecule: ribosomal RNA, 460 nt
Filed under: uncultured bacterium
Lineage: Bacteria
Description: partial 16S ribosomal RNA
Rfam family: Bacterial small subunit ribosomal RNA
Source: RNAcentral
CCUACGGGAGGCAGCAGUGAGGAAUAUUUGUCAAUGGCCGCAGGGCUGAACCAGCCAAGUCGCGUGAAGGAUGACGGCCCUACGGGUUGUAAACUUCUUUUGUCAGGGAGCAAUUGAGUCCACGUGUGGUCUUAGCGAGAGUACCUGAAGAAAAAGCAUCGGCUAACUCCGUUCCAGCAGCCGCGGUAAUACGGAGGAUGCGAUCGUUAUCCGGAUUUAUUGGGUUUAAAGGGUGCGUAGGCGGAAUAUCAAGUCAGCGGUAAAAAUUCGGGGCUCAACCCCGUAGUGCCGUUGAAACUGAUGUUCUUGAGUGGGCGAGAAGUAUGCUGAAUGCGUGGUGUAGCGGUGAAAUGCAUAGAUAUCACGCAGAACUCCGAUUGCGAAGGCAGCAUACCGGCGCCCAACUGACGCUGAAGCACGAAAGCGUGGGUAUCGAACAGGAUUAGAUACCCCGGUAGUC